RNAcentral lists this ribosomal RNA (253 nucleotides) under uncultured bacterium. RNAcentral's name for it is "partial 16S ribosomal RNA". It matches the Rfam family "Bacterial small subunit ribosomal RNA", at positions 524 to 776 of the family's 1533-position model. The record is from RNAcentral.
UACGUAGGGUGCAAGCGUUGUCCGGAUUCAUUGGGCGUAAAGCGCGCGUAGGCGGUUCGGUAAGUCGGGUGUGAAAACACGAGGCUCAACCUCGUGCGUGCAUCCGAUACUGCCGGACUAGAGGUAGGUAGGGGAGAUCGGAAUUCCUGGUGUAGCGGUGAAAUGCGCAGAUAUCAGGAGGAACACCGAUGGCGAAGGCAGGUCUCUGGGCCACUACUGACGCUGAGAAGCGAAAGCAUGGGGAGCGAACAGG